This 253-nucleotide ribosomal RNA is filed under the name uncultured bacterium. RNAcentral's name for it is "partial 16S ribosomal RNA". It matches the Rfam family "Bacterial small subunit ribosomal RNA", at positions 524 to 776 of the family's 1533-position model. The record is from RNAcentral.
UACGUAGGUGGCGAGCGUUAUUCGGAUUUAUUGGGCGUAAAGGGUUCGUAGGGGGCUAGGUAAGUUUGAUGUGAAAUCCUGCGGCUUAACUGCAGAACUGCAUUGGAUACUGCCUGGCUUGAGGUUCGGAGAGGAAAGCAGAAUUCCCGGUGUAGCGGUGGAAUGCGUAGAUAUCGGGAGGAAUACCAAAAGCGAAGGCAGCUUUCUGGCCGACACCUGACCCUGAGGAACGAAAGCCUGGGGAGCAAACAGG